UUAAAUUGAAGAGUUUGAUCAUGGCUCAGAUUGAACGCUGGCGGCAGGCCUAACACAUGCAAGUCGAACGGUAACAGGAAUCAGCUUGCUGCUU
RNAcentral lists this ribosomal RNA (94 nucleotides) under Escherichia coli. Its description in RNAcentral is "partial 16S ribosomal RNA". It matches the Rfam family "Bacterial small subunit ribosomal RNA", at positions 1 to 88 of the family's 1533-position model. RNAcentral also lists the same sequence under 2 other names. Lineage: Bacteria; Pseudomonadati; Pseudomonadota; Gammaproteobacteria; Enterobacterales; Enterobacteriaceae. The record is from RNAcentral.